UAGGCAUAUUUUACCAGACGGAGAUCCUUCUGCAAAUCAAAGAGAUGUCACGGAGGAUACGCAGCAAUGACCCUUUUACCCUCCAUAAAAAGUGCCAUGAGAAGCUGCUGACAAGAAUGACUAAGAUAUAUUGACCGCUUGAAGCAUCUCCUCCAUUGCUGAGUUGGCAGUGACAGUGGAAAAGAUUCCACUAUUUGCACACUUUGGUGAGUUUGGCAAGCUCUUGUUUGGGCUACAAACUUGACCCUAUUCUUAUCAUGGUAAGGAUGCAUAACUAUUCAGUUAUGCAGAAAAGGUGGCGUUGUCCCAUCCGAUCCAAUCUAGAGGAAAGCAGGAUGGUGAGUUGUUAGUGGAAUUGCGAGGCCGAGAGACGAGCAGCUCCUAGUUCCGAGAGGAACGGCGAAAGUGGGUUGUCGGUAUGAUGCAGCAUUGGUGCCCAUGGUGGAACUGCACUUUGCUGCAACUGCAUAUUACUUCAUGAUCAGGAAACGGCCAGCAAUGCGAGGCUAGCUCCUAUACGCAGCGAUAAGAAAAAUCUCCGUCGCCGACAAAAGGGGUUACUGGAUCCGGACAAGAUGCUGAAGAUUAUGCCCACCUGGAGAAUAUCAUACAUGUUCAGGAAAAGGAGAGCUGCCAGACAAGAGAAUACGAGUGCUGAAAGGGUAAUCGCACUGAAAACAACAUUAACAUGAUUUGCUGAGAGUCAUGAUGGGCUGCAGCCUGCAAGGGGAGCUGGGUGGAAUUGAUGGGCGUUUUAAUUUACCUUUGUUGUGUAGUUAAGCACAUGUGGGCUGUCCAAUCAUGAUUUAUUGACAUUGAGUGGAUGUGGUGCUUGGUGUAUUUUCAUUUGUUUUGCAGGGUAUCUCAUCAUUAGAGUUUGCGUAAUUAUGUACCGCUCUAUUACGACUUGCUAUAAUACCUAACCCUUGAUGAUAAA
Long non-coding RNA from Hordeum vulgare subsp. vulgare (domesticated barley), 937 nucleotides. RefSeq lists it as uncharacterized. The transcript has 4 exons. NCBI's taxonomy places the organism in Eukaryota, Viridiplantae, Streptophyta, Magnoliopsida, Poales, Poaceae. The record is from RefSeq and is a predicted model, not a curated record.